AUGUUGGUGGGGAAACUACAGUUUGAUUCUGUUAAGUAUUCAGAAGCAAAUUUGCAGUGGAUGAAUAAACCAGUGAGGGGCAGCAGGUUUUCACAUGGAAAAUAUUACUGCCUUUCAUGUUCAAGGAAAUACGGAGCUAUUUUCUCAUGAAGCAUGAGAUGUUCUAACAUCCUAAC
This 176-nucleotide long non-coding RNA is filed under the name Anser cygnoides (Swan goose). RNAcentral describes it as "lncRNA (ENSACDG00005004357.1)". The record is from RNAcentral. Lineage: Eukaryota; Metazoa; Chordata; Aves; Anseriformes; Anatidae.